Molecule: long non-coding RNA, 3784 nt
Filed under: Podarcis lilfordi (Lilford's wall lizard)
Lineage: Eukaryota; Metazoa; Chordata; Lepidosauria; Squamata; Lacertidae
Source: RNAcentral
AGCCAGUUGGAAGCUGUUGCUAGGGAGGACAGGCAGACUAAAUCGCAACCUCGCCUCCCUUUCUGUGUCCUGAGAAGAGGCUGGAUAGGGGGAAGAGACCUUCUAGGUAAGAAGACACAGAGGGUGGCACUGCUUUCCAGCUUGCUCCUCGUUCCUCUUAGCAUCACCCUUUAGGAACUUGUUUGGGAGGAAUAUGGAGGCAAAACUAGAAUUAGCUGGCUCUAACUCUACUUCCUGUUGUCUCUGCCUUCUGCCCUACUGGUCCAAAUGGACACCUAUCAGCGCUGGAUGAGAGCUGAAGUCCAGCAACACCUGGAGGGCACCACGUUGGCUAACCUUGUCCAGGGCAGUGCAGCAUAGAUAGCUGGUUGCAGAUGGAGCAGCCACGUUGUCCUCUCACUUGCUCACCUGCAUUCUCCUGGGUGAAGCAAUGAUGGAAAUUCACUGCUGCGAGCCUAACACCUCCUGUUUUGCCACUCGAAGGAGGAUAGGUAAGAGGAGAAAGCAGUUGUUCCUGCCUCAGCAUGAUGGCACCAAGAUUGGUUGCUAUCACCCCACUGCCUGUGAUUGCAACGCUUUACCUGUUUGUGCACAUUCUCUUUGGGUGGCACAACAGGGUCAUGAAGAGGGAGCAGGCAAAAGGAGCAGCCUCUGAAUGCUCACUUACCCUCUCUCACUCCGUGGCAUGAUGGAGACAAUUGAAUUCACUGGGCUCAGUCCCCGUGCCACCUAGUAAGGUAAAGGCUCCCUGGACGGUUAAGUCCAGUCAAAGGCAACUAUGGGGUGUGGCGCUCAUCUCGCUUCCGGCUGAGGGAGCCGGCAUUUGUCUACAGACAGCUUUCUGGGUCGCAACCAGCAGGACUAAACCACUUCUGGCACAAUGGGACGCCGUGAUGAGUGCCAGAGUACAUGGAAACGCCAUUUACUUCCCAGCACAACAGUGCCUAUUUGUCUACUUGCACUGGUGUGCUUUCGAUCUGAGCACCUCUUUUUACACCACCACCAACUGCAGAUUGGCUGCUUUUCUUUCAAACAAAAAGCAUCACUUUUACGUAUCCCCUUUUAAAAUAGUGUUGUUUGUCCCUCCACAAGACAAGCCAGGAGACACCACUCAGAACUAUUUCCACCCGAGUAGUUCCUUAGCCAGGCUCUGAAAGUGUGACUUCCAUUUUCCCCUCCAGGUGGCAGCAGCUCCCCUUCAGGUAGGAGCAUUAAAAAAAACAAAAACAGAAGGGCACGGCCAUUGCUGGAACACUGAUACAGUCCAUGUUUGUCAGCCAUCUAGGUUCAUAGAGCCCCCAGACAUCAGUGGAAGAUUAAGGCCUCUGCUCACAAACUGGAUAGGAAAGAAGCCUAGCUGGAUGUCAUCAGCAUCAUCCUUCCCCUCCUGGGGAAUCUUUGCCUACCCAUUUGAUACCAUUGGGGAGCAUCCAGUGCUAAUCCUACUCAGAGUAGACCCGCUGAAAUGAAUGAGCACGACCAACUUAGGGCCAUUCAUUCCAAUGGGUCUACUUUGAGUAAGACUGGCACUGGAUACGCUUUACGCAGAAGAAGUCGGGUUUAGAACCAGGUAAGUUUGAAACAUCCCACUCAGUAAGACUUGCACAGCUGCCUCCUUCAACAACCAGGGGGGUUAUGUACACCCUUUCGAGGUGAUAAGGUACGGGACCAGUGCUUUGACCUGUGAAGCAAAUAGUACCUUGGGGUGGGGCAAUUCCAAUCAGGAGAAUGGCAGAGGGGAAAAGGUUAAACUACUCAUCCAUUAGCAUCACGACACCAGUUCAAAUUUGAAGGGUGGGGAACCAGCAUUUAGCUCUUUAAAAAUUGCCAAUCAGAUUAUGGAUCUCCUACUGUUCUGCCUAGUUGUGCCUUUAUUUGUGCCAGUGGUGCAGCCUUAAAAUCACCCCUCCCAUCACAGCCAAACAGCUGGCCUUGGCUUAGACCUAGCUGAAUCUCUGGAAGUAGCAGGGCCAGCCCAGGGUGUUUUGUCACUUGAGGCAAAACAGGAAAAGCCCUCCUCUGCCCACAGCCCCACAGUUGCUGAGUGGAGGCAGCUUACAGAAGCCCUGGCAGGCUGAAGGUGGCAGGAGAAGAAAAAAUAGGAGGCCGGAGAGGAGCAGGUAGAGGAAGAGGUGGGAACCAAGCACAGGAGGAGGUGGGUGGCAUGCUCCCCAGGGCCUGGAUCUGCUGCCCCUCCCAGCUGUCCCCAGCCUGCCGCCCAAGACGAUUGCCUCAUCAAACCUCCUGGGUGGGCCAGUCCUGGGAAGUAGCCAGCGACUAAUUCCCCGCUGGAUGCAACAUUCAACAGGAGGUUCUUGGCGAAGCCAUCACUGAUCCCACAGCACAUCAUCAUCUGUUGGGACUUGCUGGGAAGAGGUGAAGAGGCUUUUCCAGAGUUGGCCCCUCCUCGCUCUGUUAAGUGGCCCCCAUGACGUGGAACACAGAUGAUGGUGACAGAAUGAGUGGGUGGGUAAUUGAUACAUUACUUUGGAACUCCAGAAUGGAAUCCUCCGUUGAGCAAUGAAUAAGGACAAAACGAUAAUGCCAAAAUUCCACAGCUGCUCGCUUCCAUCUGUAAAUAUGGAUUUCCCAUUCUUCUGACUUUGUGCAUUUCACUUCCUUCAAAAAAGAAAGAAAGAAAGGGGUGUCCUUAUCCUGGAGUUUCCUUUGAUGUUACUGAACAUGAUGGGAAAUGGUAAGGGACUGGGCUGAUUUACCCACCCAUAUCAAGGCUGAGUCAGAAGUACCACAAGAGACUCCACUGAUCUUUGGCAGCUGGAAAGGACAGAUAACUACAAGCAAGUCCUCACUGGAAAAGAGAGAAAGGGAAAGGAAAGGAAAAUCUGGGUGGUAUACAACCAGCUUUUACUCAGAGUAGACUCAAUGAAACAUGUCCACGACUAACUUAAGUCCAUUAAUUUAAGUGGGUCUGCUUUCAGUGAAAAUUAGUUGAAUAUAGCCGUCUGCAUAGAUAAGCAUUUGCGUGGGAUUCGCAGGGAAGAAGACAAAAGGGCAAGACACACCACAGCAGAAGACCUUUUAUAAGAUCAAAGCCAAAGCACAAUAACCACAAGUUUCAACUGUCACUGCGGCAUUUAUUGACUUGAAAGCAAAGGUCAUCAUCGCCCAGUGACAUCACAGCGUAUGUGGGUAACUCCGAAAAGAUUUCAGAUUACCACAAAAGGCAUGUUAAGAAAUAAAUAAAGACAUUUCACAAAAUGGUUUGCUCAAAAUAGGUGGGUACCACAACAAGGUGUUGCAACAGACCAUACUUGCUUCCCCCCCCCCACUCCCCAGCCACAACACCUAACAAUGCUGUCAUAUCCUUUACAUAUCUAAGCCAACCCCAGGAGCACCAGAUCUUACCCAAGUCUGUAAAGCCUCUGAAACCACUAACAAGGUCUGACCGGAAUCCUUCUUGGGGUGGCUCAUUAAGUGCAACUGGGGGAAAAUGUUGCAGGGCAGAGUGAGCCUGAUCCAAAUUUCUGCCAGCCAGUCAGCUAGUCAUGCUCUUUCCCAGGAAACUACAUUCCAUCCCCCUCCCCCUCCCCCAAAAGCAAGGUGGUAUUCUCUGUCUAUAGAGCAUGCUCAGUCUUCAUUGGUCUGUUUUGGGUCCCCCUCCUUUUUAGGGGUUUUGUCCCCAGUUGUUUCGUUUGUUUAUUGGGGGGAUAGUUCUGCAAAUCUUGGCUUUUCUGUGAACCUGCUGAUACCUCCCCUUCUGUGCAGAUGGAGCCAUUUUGACCACACAAGGAUCCAUAAAUGAUAAUAAAACAUAUUGGCUGCC